RNAcentral lists this ribosomal RNA (497 nucleotides) under uncultured bacterium. Its description in RNAcentral is "partial 16S ribosomal RNA". It matches the Rfam family "Bacterial small subunit ribosomal RNA", at positions 28 to 507 of the family's 1533-position model. The record is from RNAcentral.
GAUGAACGCUGGCGGCGUGCCUAAUACAUGCAAGUCGAGCGAACGGACGAGGAGCUUGCUCCUCUGACGUUAGCGGCGGACGGGUGAGUAACACGUGGAUAACCUACCUAUAAGACUGGGAUAACUUCGGGAAACCGGAGCUAAUACCGGAUAAUAUUUUGAACCGCAUGGUUCAAUAGUGAAAGACGGUUUUGCUGUCACUUAUAGAUGGAUCCGCGCCGCAUUAGCUAGUUGGUAAGGUAACGGCUUACCAAGGCGACGAUGCGUAGCCGACCUGAGAGGGUGAUCGGCCACACUGGAACUGAGACACGGUCCAGACUCCUACGGGAGGCAGCAGUAGGGAAUCUUCCGCAAUGGGCGAAAGCCUGACGGAGCAACGCCGCGUGAGUGAUGAAGGUCUUCGGAUCGUAAAACUCUGUUAUUAGGGAAGAACAAAUGUGUAAGUAACUGUGCACGUCUUGACGGUACCUAAUCAGAAAGCCACGGCUAACUACGUG